UCGAAGCAAUCGGAAGUGGUUCCAAGAAAAGCCUCUAAGCUUCAGUCAUACGAGACCGUACCGCAAACCGACACAGGUGGGCGAGAUGAGUAUUCUAAGGCGCUUGAGAGAACUCGGGAGAAGGAACUCGGCAAAUUGGUACCGUAACUUCGGGAAAAGGUACGCCCUUGUAGNUUGACCACUUUACUGUGGAAGGNUGAACGGGUUGCAAUAAACUGGUGGCUGCGACUGUUUAAUAAAAACACAGCACUCUGCAAACACGAAAGUGGACGUAUAGGGUGUGACGCCUGCCCGGUGCUGGAAGAUUAAAUGAUGGGGUGCAAGCUCUUGAUUGAAGUCCCAGUAAACGGCGGCCGUAACUAUAACGGUCCUAAGGUAGCGAAAUUCCUUGUCGGGUAAGUUCCGACCUGCACGAAUGGCGUAACGAUGGCCACACUGUCUCCUCCCGAGACUCAGCGAAGUUGAAGUGUUUGUGAUGAUGCAAUCUACCCGCGGCUAGACGGAAAGACCCCAUGAACCUUUACUGUAGCUUUGCAUUGGACUUUGAACCAAUCUGUGUAGGAUAGGUGGGAGGCUUUGAAGCGGGGACGCCAGUUCUCGUGGAGCCAUCCUUGAAAUACCACCCUGGUUUGUUUGAGGUUCUAACCUUGGUCCGUUAUCCGGAUCGGGGACAGUGCAUGGUAGGCAGUUUGACUGGGGCGGUCUCCUCCUAAAGUGUAACGGAGGAGUUCGAAGGUACGCUAGGUACGGUCGGACAUCGUGCUAAUAGUGCAAUGGCAUAAGCGUGCUUAACUGCGAGACUGACAAGUCGAGCAGGUACGAAAGUAGGACAUAGUGAUCCGGUGGUUCUGUAUGGAAGGGCCAUCGCUCAACGGAUAAAAGGUACUCUGGGGAUAACAGGCUGAUUCCUCCCAAGAGUUCAUAUCGACGGGGGAGUUUGGCACCUCGAUGUCGGCUCAUCACAUCCUGGGGCUGUAGCCGGUCCCAAGGGUAUGGCUGUUCGCCAUUUAAAGUGGUACGUGAGCUGGGUUCAGAACGUCGUGAGACAGUUUGGUCCCUAUCUGCCGUGGGCGUUGGAAAUUUGAAGGGGGCUGCUCCUAGUACGAGAGGACCGGAGUGGACAGACCUCUGGUGUACCGGUUGUCACGCCAGUGGCAUUGCCGGGUAGCUAAGUCUGGAAGAGAUAACCGCUGAAAGCAUCUAAGCGGGAAACUUGCCUUGAGAUGAGAUUUCCCAGAGCCUUGAGCUCUUUAAAGGGUCGUUCGAGACCAGGACGUUGAUAGGUCAGGUGUGGAAGUGCAGUAAUGCAUUAAGCUAACUGAUACUAAUUGCCCGUACGGCUUGUCC
This 1347-nucleotide ribosomal RNA is filed under the name Sphingomonas sp. JGI 0001003-C6. Its description in RNAcentral is "bacterial LSU rRNA". It matches the Rfam family "Bacterial large subunit ribosomal RNA", at positions 1585 to 2925 of the family's 2925-position model. Lineage: Bacteria; Pseudomonadati; Pseudomonadota; Alphaproteobacteria; Sphingomonadales; Sphingomonadaceae. The record is from RNAcentral.